GCCCCCAUAGCUCAAUUGGAAGAGCGUGUGGCUUCGGACCACAAGGUUACAGGUUCGAGUCCUGUUGGGGGCU
This 73-nucleotide transfer RNA is filed under the name Candidatus Parcubacteria bacterium. RNAcentral's name for it is "tRNA-Arg". It matches the Rfam family "tRNA". From Rfam's summary of the family: Transfer RNA (tRNA) molecules are approximately 80 nucleotides in length. Their secondary structure includes four short double-helical elements and three loops (D, anti-codon, and T loops). Lineage: Bacteria; Candidatus Parcubacteria. The record is from RNAcentral.